CGGCGGACGGGUGAGUAACACGUGGAUAACCUACCUAUAAGACUGGGAUAACUUCGGGAAACCGGAGCUAAUACCGGAUAAUAUAUUGAACCGCAUGGUUCAAUAGUGAAAGACGGUUUUGCUGUCACUUAUAGAUGGAUCCGCGCCGCAUUAGCUAGUUGGUAAGGUAACGGCUUACCAAGGCAACGAUGCGUAGCCGACCUGAGAGGGUGAUCGGCCACAUUGGGACUGAGAUACGGCCCAG
This 244-nucleotide ribosomal RNA is filed under the name uncultured Staphylococcus sp. RNAcentral describes it as "partial 16S ribosomal RNA". It matches the Rfam family "Bacterial small subunit ribosomal RNA", at positions 96 to 334 of the family's 1533-position model. The record is from RNAcentral. Lineage: Bacteria; Bacillati; Bacillota; Bacilli; Caryophanales; Staphylococcaceae.